CAAUAGCGUAUAUUAAAGUUGUUGCAGUUAAAAAGCUCGUAGUUGGAUUUCGGGGCAGCCUGGCUGGUCCGCCGCAAGGCGAGUACUGGUCAGCCGCCCUUCCUCUCGAAAGCCCCGACUGCUCUUUAUUGCAGUGGUCGGGUAGUUCGGGACGUUUACUUUGAAAAAAUUAGAGUGUUCAAGGCAGGCCUACGCCUGGAUACAUUAGCAUGGAAUAAUGGAAGAGGACCUCGGUCCUAUUUUGUUGGUUUCCAGGACCGAAGUAAUGAUUAAGAGGGACAGUUGGGGGCAUUCGUAUUUAAUUGUCAGAGGUGAAAUUCUCGGAUUUAUGAAAGACGAACAACUGCGAAAGCAUUUGCCAAGGAUGUUUUCAUUAA
This 377-nucleotide ribosomal RNA is filed under the name uncultured eukaryote. RNAcentral's name for it is "partial 18S ribosomal RNA". It matches the Rfam family "Eukaryotic small subunit ribosomal RNA", at positions 592 to 976 of the family's 1831-position model. The record is from RNAcentral.